AGAGUUUGAUUCUGGCUCAGGAUGAACGCUGGCGGCGUGCUUAACACAUGCAAGUCGAACGGACUCAUAUUGAAACCUAGUGAUGUAUGAGUUAGUGGCGGACGGGUGAGUAACGCGUGGAGAACCUGCCGUAUACUGGGGGAUAACACUUAGAAAUAGGUGCUAAUACCGCAUAAGCGCACAGCUUCGCAUGAAGCAGUGUGAAAAACUCUGGUGGUAUACGAUGGAUCCGCGUCUGAUUAGCUAGUUGGCGGGGUAAAGGCCCACCAAGGCGACGAUCAGUAGCCGGCCUGAGAGGGUGAACGGCCACAUUGGGACUGAGACACGGCCCAAACUCCUACGGGAGGCAGCAGUGGGGAAUAUUGCCCCAUGGGGGAAACCCUGAUGCAGCGACGCCGCGUGAGUGAAGAAGUAUUUCGGUACGUAAAGCUCUAUCAGCAGGGAAGAAAAAAAGUCCUUUGGACUUUGGACGGUACCUGACUAAGAAGCCCCGGCUAACU
Molecule: ribosomal RNA, 500 nt
Filed under: uncultured bacterium
Lineage: Bacteria
Description: bacterial SSU rRNA
Rfam family: Bacterial small subunit ribosomal RNA
Source: RNAcentral